GACGAACGCUGGCGGCGUGCCUAAUACAUGCAAGUAGAACGCUGAAGGAGGAGCUUGCUUCUCUGGAUGAGUUGCGAACGGGUGAGUAACGCGUAGGUAACCUGCCUGGUAGCGGGGGAUAACUAUUGGAAACGAUAGCUAAUACCGCAUAAUAGCAGUUGUUGCAUGACAACUGUUUGAAAGGUGCAAUUGCACCACUACCAGAUGGACCUGCGUUGUAUUAGCUAGUUGGUGGGGUAACGGCUCACCAAGGCGACGAUACAUAGCCGACCUGAGAGGGGGAUCGGCCACACUGGGACUGAGACACGGCCCAGACUCCUACGGGAGGCAGCAGGAGGGAAUCUUCGGCAAUGGACGGAAGUCUGACCGAGCAACGCCGCGUGAGUGAAGAAGGUUGUCGGAUCGUAAAGCUCUGUUGUAAGAGAGGAACGAGUGUGAGAGUGGAAAGUUCACACUGUGACGGUAUCUUACCAGAAAGGGACGGCUAACUACGUG
RNAcentral lists this ribosomal RNA (495 nucleotides) under uncultured bacterium. RNAcentral describes it as "partial 16S ribosomal RNA". It matches the Rfam family "Bacterial small subunit ribosomal RNA", at positions 28 to 507 of the family's 1533-position model. The record is from RNAcentral.